AGCAGCCGCGGUAAUUCCAGCUACAAUAGCGUAUAUUAAAGUUGUUGCAGUUAAAAAGCUCGUAGUUGAAUUUCGGGGUUAGUAGGUUGGUCAUGCCUCUGGUAUGUACUGGUCUCACUGAUUCCUCCUUCCUGAUGAACCUUAAUCCCAUUAAUUUGGUGUUUUGGGGAAUUUGGACUGUUACUUUGAAAAAUUAGAGUGUUUAAAGCAAGCUAACGCUUGAAUACAUUAGCAUGGAAUAAUGAAAUAGGACGUUCGAUCCUAUUUUGUUGGUUUCUAGGAUUGACGUAAUGAUUAAUAGGGAUAGUUGGGGGCAUUAGUAUUCAAUUGUCAGAGGUGAAAAUUCUUGGAUUUAUUGAAGACUAACUACUGCGAAAGCAUUUGCCAAGGAUGUUUUCAUUAAUCAAGAACGAAAGUUAGGGGAUCGAAGACGAUCAGAUACCGUCGUAGUCUUAACCAUAAACUAUGCCGACUAAGGGAUCGGAUGAUGUUAAUUUUUAAUGACUCAUUCGGCGCCUUA
This 520-nucleotide ribosomal RNA is filed under the name uncultured Glomus. RNAcentral describes it as "SSU rRNA". It matches the Rfam family "Eukaryotic small subunit ribosomal RNA", at positions 569 to 1090 of the family's 1831-position model. The record is from RNAcentral. Lineage: Eukaryota; Fungi; Glomeromycota; Glomeromycetes; Glomerales; Glomeraceae.